GGGCAAACCAGUGUAGUAAACGACCACCGCUACUCUCCUUCUGGGAAAAUUCUUCGGGCACCAUAUAUGAACUUCUUUGAACAUUUCCUAGCAACUUCCAAUAACUUGCCUCUUUCCAUCACUUCACUUUAAAGCUCCAAUGGAUAAACACAUGAGAUUCUUACCUCCACUGAUUAGUUAUAAUCCUUAGAACCACACAGAGAUAUGGAGCACGAAGCUUUCACGAUUGUCACUAUUGUCAAGGAGGAAGAGAUCAAUCCGAUAAGCAACUUCAAAAGAAAGGGGAAAUCUUUAGCAAGUGAUGCAAGUUCCAGCCUAAUUCAAGAAGAUGGGGAAAUUCCUGUUCCAUCAAGUUCAACAUUGUCUAGCCUAAGUCAAGACGAGCAGCAAGUUCCUGCACCAACUGAGAUCCAAAGCCAAGAGGAACCUGAACAAGAUGAAGCUGCACUAAGAAACUCAGUGACUCUUAUUGAGCGUCGUCUUCAGGAAAAGCGUCAAGCAGUAAUGACACGAGGAAAAGGCAGGAAUUCAUCUGUAUGCAUCUUCAGGUUUCCUCCUAGUCUUGGAGAAAUCAAUCCAAAUGCCUCUCAGCCUGAGCUUGUAUCUAUAGGCCCUUAUCACGGGCAAGGAUCAUUUACUUGAGUUUGAAGAUCACAAGUGGCUCUUCCUUGAGAAAUUCCUUUCUAGAUCAAGCGCUUCUGGAAGGGGUUUGAGGCACUAUUUAAGUAGAUUGAGAAAAGAGGAAGUGGAUAUUAUAAAUUACUACUCGGACGUUAUUCCGAUGUCAAGUGAUGACUUCGUUGAAAUGAUACUGCUUGAUGGUUGCUUUAUCAUUGAACUUUUAAUCCAUCUUAACCAGGGUGGAGACAUUAUCGAUGACGAUGAUCCAAUCUUCACAAGGCCCUGGUUGAUCCCAAUUCUCAUUAGAGACCUCCUUAAGCUUGAGAACCAACUCCCCUUUUUUGUUCUUGACUUCUUGUAUCAAAUAUCUGGAAUUGGGAAUGAUAUGGACAAAAAGCUGGGUCCUUUACCCAUACUUGCCUUGAGAACCUUUGAUCAAGCCUCUCCAAGGCGUCUGGGAAAUCCUAACCAAUUCUUUCUCUACAAAGGGGAGCAUUUGCUUCACUUAGUUUAUUCAAGCUUAGUUUCCUCAAUCUUGGUAACUCACUGUCAUCAGUUGGAUGAAUAUUGCCCAUCAGAUCAGUCAAUACAAUGUGUCACACAGCUUAGACCAUCAGGAGCGAAGUUCAAGUCAACAAAGAGAGACAGCUUCUUGGAUAUAAAUUUCAAAAACCAAGUGCUAGAAAUUCCAUCCAUUACAGUCAAUGACUUCACAAGCACCCUCCUCAUAAACUGUGUAGCCUUGGAACAAUGCCAGGAGAAGAGAUCCAAAUACUUCACAGAUUAUGUCUCUUUCAUGAGUUGUCUCAUCAGCCAACCAAGAGAUGUAGCACUCCUUUGCUCCGAUGGAAUCGUCACGAGGUUUUCCAAAGAUGACAGAUAUGUUGUUGAUCUUUUCACUAAUCUUGGGAAGAACACUGACUUCAACAUUCGAGAUAGUUAUCUUUCCAAGCAAUUCAGAGAAGUUGAAUCCUAUUACAGCAGCAACUGGGCUACCAUGAGACGAACUUACUUUAGUAGUCCAUGGUCAUUUAUCUCAUUGUCUUCUGCCAUCCUCCUCUUAGUUUUGUUAUUAUGUUAAUUAUGUUAUUAAUGUAGCAGUGGCUUAGCUCUUUUUUUGGAAGAGGGAGGGUUUGUUUGGGUAUAAUGGAAAAUAAUCCAUUGGAGAAUAUCAUACAAG
RNAcentral lists this unclassified non-coding RNA (1801 nucleotides) under Hevea brasiliensis (rubber tree). The record is from RNAcentral. Lineage: Eukaryota; Viridiplantae; Streptophyta; Magnoliopsida; Malpighiales; Euphorbiaceae.